Molecule: non-coding RNA, 21 nt
Filed under: Caenorhabditis elegans
Lineage: Eukaryota; Metazoa; Nematoda; Chromadorea; Rhabditida; Rhabditidae
Source: RNAcentral
UAUCAUGUAAAUCUAAACUCA